GAUUACAUUUGGGGGGCGAAGCCUGACGCAGCACGCCGCGUGGAUGAUGAAGUUCUUCGGAAUGUAAAGUCCUUUUGUAGAGGAUAUCAAAGAGUUGCCGGCAGUGACGGUACUCUGCGAUUAAGCCACGGCUAAUUCUGUGCCUGCAGCCGCAGUGUUACAGGGUUGGCAACCGUU
This 177-nucleotide ribosomal RNA is filed under the name uncultured Chlorobium sp. RNAcentral's name for it is "partial 16S ribosomal RNA". It matches the Rfam family "Bacterial small subunit ribosomal RNA", at positions 356 to 542 of the family's 1533-position model. Lineage: Bacteria; Pseudomonadati; Chlorobiota; Chlorobiia; Chlorobiales; Chlorobiaceae. The record is from RNAcentral.